AUAUUAUUAAGCGGAGGAAAAGAAACUAACAAGGAUUCCCUUAGUAAUGGCGAAUGAAGUGGGAGUAGCUCAGGUUUAAAAUCUGGCAGCUUCGCUGCCCGAAUUGUAGUCUUGGGGAGUGGCAUCUCGGACGGCGCCCAGCAUAAGUCUCUUGGAAUAGAGCGCUAGAGAGGGUGAUAGCCCCGUUCAUGGCUGGGAGCAGCCGUCUUAUCCGUUGCCAUUCUUUAGAGUCGGGUUGUUUGGGAAUGCAGCCUUAAAUGGGUCGUAAAUUCGAUCUAAAGCUAAAUAAUGGUCAGAGACCGAUAGGCACAAGUA
Molecule: ribosomal RNA, 315 nt
Filed under: uncultured eukaryote
Lineage: Eukaryota
Description: partial large subunit ribosomal RNA
Rfam family: Eukaryotic large subunit ribosomal RNA
Source: RNAcentral